UUCAUACGGUGUUCUUAUGAAACAUGACGUUUAUUCCUGAGUUCAUUUUGGAGUGACAGCAGAAAAAAAGUGUAACUUAGAAGCAGCUCAAGCGGAACCCCGGAAAACGCUGGCUGUUGGCCAAUUUCAUGUCCAAAGAGUGUUUAUUCACCAUCAGCGAAGAGGAUGGGAUGCAUCGUCCCUAAAGUUGGUGGAAGAAGGAACAUCAGAAGGGGAGUUAUCACAGAGGGUCCUCAAUCAAUCGCACUAAAAGUCGGAGGGAAUUACGGAUAUACUUUACCCGCUUUACACGCGACAAGGCGGAGGAACUGGCACGCUGUGUGGCAAUAAAAUUUUACAGGAUGGAACCCGAGCCGGCCAUACGUGAGGAAUUGUGGACAAUGAUACAAUUAAUCGGGAUGGUGGAAAGAUUUUUAAAUAGGAGGACGGAAAGGGCAAUCAGUGGAAAUAAAAUGUUAAGCCUUCCUCGCUGACAUCGUAUUUAACAUCCUCAUUGAUAUGAUUACAAGACCAAUAUUUGAAAAGGACGCAACAACAGUCAACAUUUAUUCUUGUAUUGUUAUUCAGUUAUUGUUACUUGUUCAGUUAUUUGUCUAUGUAUAGCUAUUUAUGUAGGUAGAAGAGAAAUAGGAAACAAAAUGUUUUGGCUGUUAACGCGAAUUAUGAGACGAGCCAUUUUUAUAACUACCUCGAACAGGACGAUUUAGUUGAUGAAGAAUUGAAGAUAUUAGAUUGGACGGAAAAUGUUGUUUGCUCAGGUUUUACGUACUAAUGACUGUCAGAACGUUUGCCUUAAUUAUCGAUAUCAACUUUGUAUAGAGAUGAGUGACGUUUAGCGCCCGCACACUAAUGUGCAGUUCGGCAUGUGUAAAUACAUGUUUGUUUUCCUUCUGCUCAUAACCUCAAAAUUGAUCGGGUCAUCACAAUGAUGGGAAAGGAGUCAAAAA
This is a long non-coding RNA of Armigeres subalbatus, 947 nucleotides long. RefSeq lists it as uncharacterized. The record is from RefSeq and is a predicted model, not a curated record. NCBI's taxonomy places the organism in Eukaryota, Metazoa, Arthropoda, Insecta, Diptera, Culicidae. The transcript is spliced from 3 exons.